RNAcentral lists this ribosomal RNA (624 nucleotides) under uncultured bacterium. RNAcentral's name for it is "bacterial SSU rRNA". It matches the Rfam family "Bacterial small subunit ribosomal RNA", at positions 338 to 954 of the family's 1533-position model. The record is from RNAcentral.
CCUACGGGAGGCAGCAGUGGGGAAUUUUGGACAAUGGGCGAAAGCCUGAUCCAGCAAUGCCGCGUGAGUGAAGAAGGCCUUCGGGUUGUAAAGCUCUUUUGUCAGGGAAGAAACGGUGAAAGCUAAUAUCUUUUGCUAAUGACGGUACCUGAAGAAUAAGCACCGGCUAACUACGUGCCAGCAGCCGCGGUAAUACGUAGGGUGCAAGCGUUAAUCGGAAUUACUGGGCGUAAAGCGUGCGCAGGCGGUUUUGUAAGUCUGAUGUGAAAUCCCCGGGCUCAACCUGGGAAUUGCAUUGGAGACUGCAAGGCUAGAAUCUGGCAGAGGGGGGUAGAAUUCCACGUGUAGCAGUGAAAUGCGUAGAUAUGUGGAGGAACACCGAUGGCGAAGGCAGCCCCCUGGGUCAAGAUUGACGCUCAUGCACGAAAGCGUGGGGAGCAAACAGGAUUAGAUACCCUGGUAGUCCACGCCCUAAACGAUGUCUACUAGUUGUCGGGUCUUAAUUGACUUGGUAACGCAGCUAACGCGUGAAGUAGACCGCCUGGGGAGUACGGUCGCAAGAUUAAAACUUAAAGGAAUUUGACCGGCUGAGACGUAGACGACGGACGACGACGAGGGAGGAGG